AAGGGCGGGGACCAAUGGGAGGGCGGGGCUCGAAGGGGGCGGGGCCUCGGGGAGGGUCCCUCCCGCUCUCUGCGCGUGCUCGAGGAGCGCGCCCCCCCCCCCCCCCCCCCCCCCCCCCCGGCAAGGUCCCGAGCGCACGAGGCCGGGGUGGGAGCCGGUUUGUCCCGGUUCCCGGAGUGGAUGGGACCCGCCUCAGGGACCGGCUUCUCCUGAGGAAACGCAGCCCUUCGAAGCCGGGCCCGGCUUGCAAUGAGUUGGCCGGGCUGUGAGCCCAAGGCCCGAAGGUGGCCAAACCAAGUCCUUGCACCCCCUCGAGGCCUGGCCUGUGGAAGAGGCAGAAUUAGGCUACGGCCCCACCUGACGCUUCCCCUAAUUGGCGUUCCUGACACAGACCCUGGGUCCAGAGGUGAGACACCAAAUUGAAAUGACUUUCAAAGGUUGCUAGAAAGAUUC
RNAcentral lists this long non-coding RNA (453 nucleotides) under Ornithorhynchus anatinus (platypus). Its description in RNAcentral is "lncRNA (ENSOANG00000037539.1)". Lineage: Eukaryota; Metazoa; Chordata; Mammalia; Monotremata; Ornithorhynchidae. The record is from RNAcentral.